Molecule: small nuclear RNA, 111 nt
Filed under: Microtus ochrogaster (prairie vole)
Lineage: Eukaryota; Metazoa; Chordata; Mammalia; Rodentia; Cricetidae
Source: RNAcentral
GUGCUAACUUCUUCAGCACAUAUCCAUCCUGAAAUUAUAACAAUACAGUAAAGACCAGAGUGGCCCCAGCUCAAAGACGAUCUGAAAAUUUGUGAAGCAUUCCAAAGUUUA